CGUACCCACUCUGUGCGUGUGUUUUGUCAGGGCAAGACGCUCGGACUGUGUGGAGAUCUCCCUGGCGAGGGUCUUCGAGAGCGGCCAGGCCUACCUGGUUCUGUCUCAAGCCAGGAGCCUGGAGGACCUAAGGGUCAUGGACUUUGAUCCCCAUGUGGUCCGAGCCGACCCCGACAUGCUGUUCUUCUACAGGAAGCGGAGGAAAGAGUGAUUACUGCUACAGGCUUCGAUGGAUAAGUUUGUCUGCAAAAAUAACCAGGAGAACUAUUGUGAUGGUCUCUAUUUUUACAACCGUAUACAUCAAGGACCUGCACUGCCAACGACUGUUUCUGUG
Salmo salar (Atlantic salmon) is the source of this 334-nucleotide non-coding RNA. NCBI's taxonomy places the organism in Eukaryota, Metazoa, Chordata, Actinopteri, Salmoniformes, Salmonidae. The record is from RefSeq and is a predicted model, not a curated record.